This is a non-coding RNA of Drosophila kikkawai, 1164 nucleotides long. The record is from RefSeq and is a predicted model, not a curated record. NCBI's taxonomy places the organism in Eukaryota, Metazoa, Arthropoda, Insecta, Diptera, Drosophilidae.
AACACUAUAAAAUCGAUAACUUUGUUCUAAAAAACACAUUAUUUUGUUAAUAAUUGUAUUUACUUUAAUUUGUUAGAAUGGCACCUGCUCGUGGCUCACAAUCACAAGGCAAACCUGGCAGGAAACCAGCUAAAGGUCCUGGCAAGGUGGCACACAAGCAAAAACCCAAUUUCAAGAGCAAAAACCAGCCAAAACCCAAGGCAAAUAAACCCAAUAAACCCGAGAUUCGCAGGAAUAAGCGAAAUGAAAAGAUUGCCCAGGAGAGAGCAGAGCAGGAGAAGGUGCGGGCGGAGCGAGAUGCCCGGGUAAAGGCCUACAAAAAGCAACGUUUGGAGAAGACCAAGGCGAUCAGUAAGAAAACGCAGCGUGGACAACCGCUGAUGAAGGAUCGGAUGCAGCUCCUGCUGAAACAGAUCGAGGAGAUGAAACGUCGCUAAGAAUUCCUUGGUUUUUUUGUAUUUAAAUUCCAGCUAAUGUAUACGAUUUUAUGAUGCUAUAAAAAAUACAAAAAAUACACAGAUAAGCAGAAAAUAUAUACAAUAAAAUCUUCGAUUUCCAUGGAAUCCACUAGAGAAUUCAAUUCCAUCUACAAUCAAAGCUGAUAACAGCUCCUAUUUAAAUAGCAAAGCAAUCUCAACCAGAAAAUCAUUCGUCGCUCAACACUCAAAUCGAAAGCUUUUUUUUAUUUAUUAUAAAACAAAAACUAUUAAAAUGAAUUACUUCAAAUUCUGCUGGUCUCUCGCUGUUGUGGUCUACACCUGCUCGGAAGAUCUACUUGCCUUGCCCAAGCGACGAUCCAAGCAAAAAGGAUCCAGGCUGUCAAAAAAAUCAACAUGAAUAUUAACCACAAAAAAAUUCACAUUAAUUAAGGCUGGAUUCUAUGGAGUCACCUCUUACAUUUCUAAUUAAAUUAAAUAAUUUAAUUAAAAUAUAUUCACCGCCACAAAUGUACAAAUAUUAUGUCCAUUAAUUAUUAACUAUAUUAGUAAACAGUAUUAUAAUUAAUUAAUUAAAUAGUCAAAAAUGCAAAAUCAAUGCAUACUUAUAUAAUAUAUGAUGUAGUUUUGGUUUUAUUUGUGAAGUUGCUAAAGUGUUUGAAUGAGAUUUAUCAAUCUAGAGAAAUUAAAGAAAUUAUGUAUUUUUAUAAAUUUUACUUUCCAUUAA